RNAcentral lists this ribosomal RNA (311 nucleotides) under uncultured eukaryote. Its description in RNAcentral is "partial 18S ribosomal RNA". It matches the Rfam family "Eukaryotic small subunit ribosomal RNA", at positions 1470 to 1796 of the family's 1831-position model. The record is from RNAcentral.
CCCCUAGACGUUCUGGGCUGCACGCGCGCUACAAUAAUACGCACAGCGAGUAUCACCGAGCUCGAAAGGGCAAGGUAAACAAUAGAAAAGGUACUGUAAUGGUUAUAGAUCCUUGUAAUUAUUGAUCUUCAACAAGGAAUUCCUAGUAAGUAUGUGUCAUCAUCACGCACUGAUUACGUCCCUGCCCUUUGUACACACCGCCCGUCGCUCCUACCGAUUGAGUGAGCCGAUGAAACUGCCGGAUGUGGACUAUUCAUAGUCUGCAGAAGAUAUUUGAAUCGUAGCGCUUAGAGGAAGGAGAAGUCGUAACA